UAAUACUCGAGCCCCGAGUGGUAUCCAUGAUUAGUGGGUCUAAAGCGUCCGUAGCCGGUUCAGUAAGUCCUCAGUGAAAUUCUUUGGCAAACUGAAGAGCUUGCUGGGGAUACUACCGAACUUGGGACCGAGAGAGGGUAGACGAACUCCCGGGGAAGGGGUAAAAUCCUAUAAUCCUGGGGGGACGACCUGUGGCGAAGGCUUCUACCUAGAGCGGGUUCGACGGUGAGGGACGAAACCUAGGGGAGCGAUCGGGAUUAGAUAUUAUAUCAGGAAGAAGGAAUUGAUGCAAAACACAAAAUGCAAAAAUUUCUUUAUUAAAACCUGAAAUAACUAAAAACCCCGGUAGUCCUAGGCGUAAACGAUGCCCGUUUG
Molecule: ribosomal RNA, 375 nt
Filed under: uncultured archaeon
Lineage: Archaea
Description: bacterial SSU rRNA
Rfam family: Archaeal small subunit ribosomal RNA
Source: RNAcentral